RNAcentral lists this transfer RNA (71 nucleotides) under Diplometopon zarudnyi. RNAcentral describes it as "tRNA-Ile". The record is from RNAcentral. Lineage: Eukaryota; Metazoa; Chordata; Lepidosauria; Squamata; Trogonophidae.
GGACGUGUGCCCGACCAAUAGGGGUUACUUUGAUAGAGUAAACUACAGGGGCCCCCACCCCCUCACUUCCU